GAUGCCCAUGGAUGAACUUUGCCAACAGCUGAAACUUCCCAUGGAGAAGAUCAAGUAACCUCUCUCUCCCCUUCUCCCCAGGCCAUUAUCAAGCUAGAGAUGAAUGCCCGAUAUACAUUGCAAGAGAUGUCAAUGGAGUUCAGAGGUGGAAGCUAUCGUAAAUCCCAGAAUCCAGAUAUGAUGCUCGUUGCAAGACCUGGAACUUUCAGUAGCUUGCUCUCGAUCCGUAGCGUUUGAUAAAUCUUGAAAUCUCAAUAAGAUGUCUGGAGUUGAUGGCCGAUAAGCAUUAUGCGCACAUGUUGCAUUUCCCUGUUGGUGGGUAAAAGCUCCUCUUUUUUAAAUAUAUAAUAUCCGUAAAUGAAUUUAUCUUAAUUCCAUAACGUCACGUGAAUUAAUUUAAUAUUCCGAUAACUAAACAAGCAAAGGCUUCUCUUUUUUAAAUAAUUUAUCCCUCUAGCUACGUGAUUGGUCGCCCUGAAAGUGUAGGAAAAUCAAACAAAUCAAGUGAGAUAUGUAAAACAUGACAUUUUUAUUAUUUUAUUUCUUAUACUGGCAGUGAAGAAAUGGUGCUGUAGUUUUAAGAGGGCGAAUGAGCAUUAUGAUAUAGUCAAGAAAUGGUGCUUGUCUCUUCGUCAAAAAUCUGCCUUCAAAGCUAAUAUCAUUAUAUCAGUGCCUGGAUGUUAAAGUUUGAUCAUAUUCAAUUUAUAUGUUUUAAAUAUAUGUGGCAUUCAAAAUUUUAAUCUACUGUGUUUUAUAAAGUUUGAUAAUAUCCAGUUUGUGUUCCGUUAGGAGUUUGAUAUUUGCUUCAGAGCAUCUUUGUUUGGACUAUUGAUAUGUUGAGAGCAGGAAGAGUGCAAUAGGAUUUUUGGAGCUACAGCCUGUCUCUUCGAUUCUAGGAGCUGCUCUUUUGCAAGGUGGCCAUUUAAUUUCAGUGGAAAAUCUCUUGUUUAGUUGUGAACAGUACUCUAUUUCCAUGUAAAUGUUGCCCUCUCCCCACGUCUCUCAUAUAUUUUUUCAAAAAAUUCUGUCUCUAACUCCUCCGGCAUCCAGUUCGGAACCUCCUCCGCUGCCUAUAGUGAUGGAUUCAUACCUCUCAGUCAGCUUACCACAAAAGACCACUCCUCUUCUAAAAACGAUGGAACAGGCUGGAUCAGUUGCAGGAAAUGGUUGUGUGUAUUGACAGAAAAAUUCAGUGCAAGUCUUUUAAUUUUGAUCUUCAUUUUUACCUUCUCCUUUUGCUUUAUGGAGUUUAAGUCAGAGAAAGUUUGGUGCUCCAGAAAUCAAAUCAUGAACUUAAAACUUGUUGAUAUACUAAAUCAAAUUUGGGGUUUUUUCUUUGUUGUAGAAACUAGUUUUGACUUGUGUUUAACCUUAGGAGGGUGCAUGAGCACUUUGACAUUGGAAAUGUAGACAGCAGAGUAUGUUACCUGUCCUCUUCAUUUCCCCUGCCAAUGCAUUGUGGUAUGAUUUCUUUAACAUUUUAAAUCUUCUGAUUAUACAAUAGGGACAGACUAUCAUUGUUUUCAUGGAGGCCAUAGGCUUUCCUGACCA
Molecule: long non-coding RNA, 1551 nt
Organism: Populus nigra (black poplar)
Lineage: Eukaryota; Viridiplantae; Streptophyta; Magnoliopsida; Malpighiales; Salicaceae
Exons: 2
Source: RefSeq, a predicted model, not a curated record